UCUCCCUGACCCUUUAAGGGUCCUGAAGGAACGUUGAAGACGACGACGUUGAUAGGCCGGGUGUGUAAGCGCAGCGAUGCGUUGAGCUAACCGGUACUAAUGAACCGUGAGGCUUAACCUUACAACGCCGAAGCUGUU
Molecule: ribosomal RNA, 138 nt
Filed under: Escherichia coli
Lineage: Bacteria; Pseudomonadati; Pseudomonadota; Gammaproteobacteria; Enterobacterales; Enterobacteriaceae
Description: partial 23S ribosomal RNA
Rfam family: Bacterial large subunit ribosomal RNA (bases 1-121)
Source: RNAcentral